RNAcentral lists this ribosomal RNA (475 nucleotides) under uncultured bacterium. RNAcentral describes it as "bacterial SSU rRNA". It matches the Rfam family "Bacterial small subunit ribosomal RNA", at positions 27 to 507 of the family's 1533-position model. The record is from RNAcentral.
GGACGAACGCUGGCGGCACGCUUAACACAUGCAAGUCGAACGAAGAAAUUUCACCGUAGCUUGCUACACCGAGAUUUCUUAGUGGCGGACGGGUGAGUAACACGUGAGCAAUCUGCCUUUCAGAGGGGGAUACCAGUUGGAAACGACUGUUAAUACCGCAUAACAUAAUUAACUCGCAUGAAUUAAUUAUCAAAGAUUUAUCGCUGAAAGAUGAGCUCGCGUCUGAUUAGCUAGUUGGUGGGGUAGAAGCCUACCAAGGCGACGAUCAGUAGCCGGCCUGAGAGGGUGAACGGCCACAUUGGGACUGAGACACGGCCCAAACUCCUACGGGAGGCAGCAGUGGGGAAUAUUGCACAAUGGAGGAAACUCUGAUGCAGCGACGCCGCGUGAGGGAAGAAGGUAUUCGUAUUGUAAACCUCUGUCUUCGGGGACGAUAAUGACGGUACCCGAGGAGGAAGCACCGGCUAACUACGUG